This 304-nucleotide small nuclear RNA is filed under the name Octodon degus (degu). RNAcentral describes it as "7SK RNA (ENSODEG00000024803.1)". It matches the Rfam family "7SK RNA". From Rfam's summary of the family: 7SK was discovered as an abundant small nuclear RNA in the mid-70s but a possible function has only recently been suggested. Lineage: Eukaryota; Metazoa; Chordata; Mammalia; Rodentia; Octodontidae. The record is from Rfam by way of RNAcentral.
AGAUGUGGGGGUGAUCUGGUUGUGACAUCUGUCACCUCAUUGAUUGCCAGGGCUGAUUCUACUGAUCUAGCUGGCUAGGUGGGUGUCCCCUUCCUCCCUGAAUGUUCCACGUUCAUCCCUUCCAAAGCUACAUGCUUGGUCGAAGAGGACAGCCACCACUGACAGAGAACCGUUCUUUGUCAAGAGUGUACGAGUAGCUGCGCUCCCCUGCUAAAACCUCCAAACAAGCUCUCAACUCCUUCCUCUUCUAACCCUCAGAACAGAAUUUUCCCGAGUAUCAAUAAUUCCUCCACAUGAAAUAUAU